Molecule: long non-coding RNA, 249 nt
Filed under: Lathyrus oleraceus (garden pea)
Lineage: Eukaryota; Viridiplantae; Streptophyta; Magnoliopsida; Fabales; Fabaceae
Description: Pisum sativum (pea) long non-coding RNA (PSAT_LNC005895)
Source: RNAcentral
CCAAAACGUGACCUAAACCACUACCUACAACCUCCCGAGUUCGAAUCCGGACUCUGAAAUCCCUAAACCAAACUCAAGGCGUUUGCAUGUUGCGAUUUAAAGCAAAAUAAAAGGGGUUCGUUAUAUUUACCACGGCAAAGGAGGUGAGGGGUGGCUUCAGGCGAAGAAGGAGUGGUUUGAUCCGAGUCCGUCGCCGGCAACCCAUCGCAGUUUCGGAUAAGUUUUCUUCCUCAACCUGCUUCUUUGUCU